UACCGAGUUGUCGACAUGAGUUGUUGCUGGUCCUCAAACGGGGGCAUGUGCACGCUCUGUUCACACAUCCACUCACACCUGUGCACCCUGUGUAGUUCUAUGGUCUGGGGGACAACACUGUCUUCCUCCCGUAGUCCUGCGUUUUUACACCUACGCUGUAGUAGAAAAGUCUUAUGGAAUGUGUGCCGCGUUUAACGCAAUGUAAUACAACUUUCAGCAACGGAUCUCUUGGCUCUCGCAUCGAUGAAGAACGCAGCGAAAUGCGAUAAGUAAUGUGAAUUGCAGAAUUCAGUGAAUCAUCGAAUCUUUGAACGCACCUUGCGCCCCUUGGCUAUUCCGAGGAGCAUGCCUGUUUGAGUAUCAUUAAAUUCUCAAGGAGUUUGUUCUCUUUGGAUUUUGGAGUGUUUGCUGGCUUGAAUCUUGUUCAGCUCCUCUCAAAUGCAUUAGCUUGUGCUUCUGUGGAAUCAGGCUUUGGUUUGAUAGUAUCUAUGUCAUUGCCUUUGAAACAAAUGAGCUAGCUUCUAAUCAUUUUAUUUUUGACAUUUUG
Molecule: unclassified non-coding RNA, 547 nt
Filed under: Tomentella sp. 7 CG-2012
Lineage: Eukaryota; Fungi; Basidiomycota; Agaricomycetes; Thelephorales; Thelephoraceae
Description: sequence contains ITS1, 5.8S rRNA gene, ITS2
Rfam family: 5.8S ribosomal RNA (bases 209-363)
Source: RNAcentral